Molecule: ribosomal RNA, 233 nt
Filed under: uncultured bacterium
Lineage: Bacteria
Description: partial 16S ribosomal RNA
Rfam family: Bacterial small subunit ribosomal RNA
Source: RNAcentral
GAUCCUGGCUCAGGAUGAACGCUAGCUACAGGCUUAACACAUGCAAGUCGAGGGGCAUCAGGGUGUAGCAAUACACCGCUGGCGACCGGCGCACGGGUGAGUAACACGUAUCCAACCUGCCCUUUACUCGGGGAUAGCCUUUCGAAAGUAAGACUAAUGCCCAAUGAUAUCCCACGAAGGCAUCCGAAUGGGAUUAAAGAUUAUCGGUGAUGGAUGGGGAUGCGUCUGAUUAG